Molecule: ribosomal RNA, 440 nt
Filed under: Acanthamoeba sp.
Lineage: Eukaryota; Discosea; Longamoebia; Acanthamoebidae
Description: SSU rRNA
Rfam family: Eukaryotic small subunit ribosomal RNA (bases 1-390)
Source: RNAcentral
CGUUUACCGUGAAAAAAUUAGAGUGUUCAAAGCAGGCAGAUCCAAUUUUCUGCCACCGAAUACAUUAGCAUGGGAUAAUGGAAUAGGACCCUGUCCUCCUAUUUUCAGUUGGUUUUGGCAGCGCGAGGACUAGGGUAAUGAUUAAUAGGGAUAGUUGGGGGCAUUAAUAUUUAAUUGUCAGAGGUGAAAUUCUUGGAUUUAUGAAAGAUUAACUUCUGCGAAAGCAUCUGCCAAGGAUGUUUUCAUUAAUCAAGAACGAAAGUUAGGGGAUCGAAGACGAUCAGAUACCGUCGUAGUCUUAACCAUAAACGAUGCCGACCAGCGAUUAGGAGACGUUGAAUACAAAACACCACCAUCGGUUGCGCGGUCGUCCUUGGCGUCUCGGUUUCGGCCGGGGCGCGGGGAUGGCUUAGCCCGGUGGCACCGGUGAAUGACUCCUA